CUACGGGUGGCUGCAGUGGGGAAUAUUGGACAAUGGGGGAAACCCUGAUCCAGCAAUGCCGCGUGUGUGAAGAAGGCCUGCGGGUUGUAAAGCACUUUCGGUUGGGAGGACUGCUUCUAGCACUAAUAUUGUUGGAAGUUGACGUUACCUUCAGAAGAAGCACCGGCUAACUCCGUGCCAGCAGCCGCGGUAAUACGGGAGGGUGCAAGCGUUAAUCGGAAUUACUGGGCGUAAAGCGCACGUAGGCGGCUAGAUCAGUCGGGUGUGAAAGCCCCGGGCUUAACCUGGGAACUGCAUCCGAUACUGUCUAGCUUGAGUACAGGAGAGGAGAGUGGAAUUCCACAUGUAGCGGUGAAAUGCGUAGAUAUGUGGAGGAACACCAAUGGCGAAGGCAGCUCUCUGGCCUGAUACUGACGCUGAGGUGCGAAAGCGUGGGGAGCAAACAGGAUUAGAUACCCUAGUAGUC
This 466-nucleotide ribosomal RNA is filed under the name uncultured bacterium. Its description in RNAcentral is "partial 16S ribosomal RNA". It matches the Rfam family "Bacterial small subunit ribosomal RNA", at positions 339 to 795 of the family's 1533-position model. The record is from RNAcentral.